CUACGGGUUGCUGCAGUGGGGAAUAUUGCACAAUGGGCGCAAGCCUGAUGCAGCCAUGCCGCGUGUAUGAAGAAGGCCUUCGGGUUGUAAAGUACUUUCAGCGGGGAGGAAGGGAGUAAAGUUAAUACCUUUGCUCAUUGACGUUACCCGCAGAAGAAGCACCGGCUAACUCCGUGCCAGCAGCCGCGGUAAUACGGAGGGUGCAAGCGUUAAUCGGAAUUACUGGGCGUAAAGCGCACGCAGGCGGUUUGUUAAGUCAGAUGUGAAAUCCCCGGGCUCAACCUGGGAACUGCAUCUGAUACUGGCAAGCUUGAGGCUCGUAGAGGGGGGUAGAAUUCCAGGUGUAGCGGUGAAAUGCGUAGAGAUCUGGAGGAAUACCGGUGGCGAAGGCGGCCCCCUGGACGAAGACUGACGCUCAGGUGCGAAAGCGUGGGGAGCAAACAGGAUUAGAUACCCGUGGUAGUC
RNAcentral lists this ribosomal RNA (465 nucleotides) under uncultured bacterium. RNAcentral describes it as "partial 16S ribosomal RNA". It matches the Rfam family "Bacterial small subunit ribosomal RNA", at positions 339 to 795 of the family's 1533-position model. The record is from RNAcentral.